RNAcentral lists this ribosomal RNA (484 nucleotides) under uncultured bacterium. Its description in RNAcentral is "partial 16S ribosomal RNA". It matches the Rfam family "Bacterial small subunit ribosomal RNA", at positions 29 to 523 of the family's 1533-position model. The record is from RNAcentral.
AGUGAACGCUGGCGGCGUGCUUAACACAUGCAAGUCGAACGAGAACGGAUUAUAGCUUGCUAUAAUUGUCAGCUAAGCGGCGCACGGGUGAGUAAUGUAUAGGUAAUAUGCCUCUUACUAAGGGAUAACAAAUGGAAACGUUUGCUAAUACCUUAUACUCCUUAUUAACAGAAGUUAAUAAGGGAAAGAUUUAUUGGUAAGAGAUUAGCCUGUAUUGUAUCAGUUAGUUGGUGGGGUAAUGGCUUACCAAGACUAUGACACAUAACUGGUUUGAGAGGAUGAUCAGUCACACUGGAACUGAGACACGGUCCAGACUCCUACGGGAGGCAGCAGUGGGGAAUAUUGCACAAUGGACGAAAGUCUGAUGCAGCAACGCCGCGUGGAGGAUGACACAUUUCGGUGCGUAAACUCCUUUCAUAUGAGAAGAUAAUGACGGUAUUAUAUGAAUAAGCACCGGCUAACUCCGUGCCAGCAGCAGCCGCGG